Synchiropus splendidus (mandarinfish) is the source of this 6271-nucleotide long non-coding RNA. RefSeq lists it as uncharacterized. The transcript has 10 exons. NCBI's taxonomy places the organism in Eukaryota, Metazoa, Chordata, Actinopteri, Syngnathiformes, Callionymidae. The record is from RefSeq and is a predicted model, not a curated record.
GCUGCUCGCCACCAACUUCAGCAAUGUUGCACUAUACGUUACACAGGUUGUCGGUUGGCAACAAGAUGGGAAUUGUAGUUUUUACAACCAGGCUCAUGCGGCGUUACGAAAACCCCGGUCGACACUUUGCAACUACAUUACCCAUGAACCUCCACGGUGGAUAAGCAACUCAUUCCGGGCGGAGUUGAAGGCGGAAGUCAGAGAAACAUAAACAAGGGUGUGAAACGGAAUUAUUACUUACAAGGAGAGUUUGGUCUCAUGAAAGUCGGCAGCACUGCUGCUGCACUCGGAGCCUCCACUGUCCUCAGUGGUGAGAGACGGCAGGCGGCUGUUGGGACUGGACAGCAGGAUGGUCAUCUCUGUCUCGUCGUGCGAGUAGCGCCCGGAGUCGCCUGUGGCGUGGCUGCCUUCGCUAUUGGACGAGCCCUCGGAGUCGCCCAGGUGUCCCAGCAGAGCCUGCAGCGUGGCAGGAUGCUCCGAAGCGUUGGACAGGUCUUCCUCGAAGGACAACACGGUGGAGUGCGGUUGGAAGGGGCUGAUGCCAUGGCUGGAGUUCUGCAGAUGCAGCAGGAAACCAGUUGAAUGUUGAACAGGACCUAAAGAAUUUAUGAUGAGAUUCGUUCCACCCUACAGGAGAAACAAGGGAUUGAAAGCUGCUGAGGCAGACGGGUUCAUUCCUUCCCUGUAGAGCUUAACAGCAGAAGAUUUCCUGCAAGAGGAGGAAACAGGAAAUGAACAUUCAACAGUCGACCAAGGAACACAGUGCGAUGGACCGGGGAUCACAGUGGCACAGAUUGGAAACAAAGAUGGCCACUAACCAUUCGCCGACCCUGAGAAUCCCCGAGGAUUGUGACCGGACGACUGAUCGGAGCGCAGCUCCACCAUUGGUGAGAACGGACCGUCGCCCAUGCUGUUGGAGGCCGAGACUUUGACCACGUAGAACUGGUGGGGCUUGAGGUGUUCUAGCAGAGCCAUGGUGAUGCUCCCUGAAGAGAGAGUUUCCAGAGUCACACUCACAAUUAAACAAAUGAUGAAGGCAUUAUAGAUAUAUUGUGCUCAUAUCUGUUCAUCUUUUCACCACAGCAGGGGGUCAAGCUCAAGUCUCUUGAAUAAAAGGUGAAUUCAAGCUGCAUUGCUGAAUAUGCUCCAUCUUGACAAGGGAGAUCUAACAAGUGUGUCAGGCUUGAUGUUCAUUAGCAGUAGGAAUGUAGCUACAUGCGGUAAGAGGUUUUUGUGUUACACAGGUCAGAAGGAAGGUAAAUCAAUGACUCUGUUUUAAUCACAUUAACCGUCAAUCUCCUCUUUUAUCAGUGAGACAAACAGAGAGCUCCAGUCAGGAACAAAGCAGCCAGCGCUCCCACCACCCAGCCAAAUGAGUUACUGAUUUCCAAUGGCUCCUUUGUUUUGGUCAUCAAGUUCCGUCUCCUUCCUCCCAGACGUACCUUCUCUCUGCAGCACCUGCCACUCUCCGGCAAUCCAGGCGUUCCUGGAGGCGUACAGGAUGGUGUAAUGUGUGACCGCCAGGUUGGCCUCAUCUGGAGGCUUCCACGACACCAGAGCCGUGUCCUGCUCGAUCAGAGUCACUUUCACGUUGGACGGGGGCAGCGUUGGAGCUGGACGACAGACAGGUCACAUUUACACUUUCAGAAAACAGUCCUGGAGAAAUUACUUUAUAUUCCUCACUCACCUUCAGGAAAGGUGCUCUGAUAGGCCACGGGACUCCAGGGGCUCGACAGCUGAUUGAUAUGAAGACGAAUGGCAAACUCAUAUUUGGUGUUGGGCUCUAGAUCCUGAACCAGGAUGCUCUGCUUGUUCCUGUACAUUAGAAAUACAUUACAACUGUUAAUGAUUCACAGAGACAAUUCUGAUGCACAGAAGAUAAGACACCGCUUCUCCAUGUCUACAUCUGAGGUCUGUUGAUCCAUGGCAUCUUUAUAAAACCUGUGUGCUGAAAUGACCUUUUACAUAUUUGGCUGCUGAUUUGAGCAGGUGCAGGAUGAUGUUGCGACGAUGGAAGUUCAAGAUGUGAACACAGGAAUUUUGCUUUACAGGAAGGAUGGAUCAAACUUGGUGAGAUAAACAACCUCUUGCAGGAAUUACAACUCACAGCUAGCUUUUUGAAGCGAAUCUCCAUAUUAUAACAAAGCUCAAUAUGAAACUACAGGUGUUGUCCAAUAGGUGGCGACAUAGAUCUUUGUUUACAGACGUCAGGAGCGUCUCAGCAUCAUCUGCUGCUGAAGCGUCAUUUGACACAAAUUAAGCGAAGCGGAACUAAUCAAUAUUUUCCGACGAUCACAAGACGAGGAAACAGCCAAUGAGGACAGCAGCGUGUAGAACGUAGACCACAAGGGAGGCGUUCUGCAGGCCGACCGGAUUGCAGCGGACGGUGUAGUUCACCGCGUGACUGGAGGUGAAGGCUGGCCGACCCCAGUACAGGAACACAGAAGUGGAGCUGUUUGUCUUGGCGUACACAUUGUGUGGCGGUGGUGGAGGAGGAACCAGCCGAUCUCGAACAGCUGAGGAACAUCAGGAGAUUAGUUUGUGAGGUUACACUACACUAUUUAAGCCAAAAUGCAGAUCCUGUUGGCCUCAGAGGUUUUGUUCUGCCCUGUGAGAGGCCCCCCAGGCCGGAGCAAGUCAGGCCUGAACAGGGGCCGUAAAUGUCAACUCCCACAUGGACCCACACCCCAGUAUCCAUCAUCCUGGGCUCCAACCCCUCUCCUCUUCUGCUCACGCUCACGGAAAAGAGUCUCAUACAGAGUACAGUCAAUGAAUCUCAUGCAUGAGGUCAAUGAGGAGGAUGAUCAACAUAGACUAAAGAUGGAAGGAGGCUGACUUCCGUGGCAAACUCUGCUUCCAUUUACUCCAAGACCUCCGUCUGCAUCCUCAGGUGCACAGCGUUCCCUCUCACACUCCAUCAAUGUCAACAGACGGCCUUUCUUCGCCGACCACGGUGGGUGAGAUUGUGUCACUUCAUCUGAAUCAAGUGCAGUAAAUCAUUGACAGAUGCUCUCUGUUCUAAAUGAUCUUGACCUACUCAAAACAAAUCCAGCAGGUGCUCAUUUUACCUUUUUAAAUAAUGCACAGCUAAGCAUUAUAAAGUCAGUGAAAGCACAAUGAGAGUCUGUAUGAGACUGAAGCUAGAGAAAUUGUUUGGAUGUGACUUGUUAGAAGAAUGAGUUCCCAGAGAGGCUGAAAGACUGAGGGCCCUUGAGAGUUUCUGAAUAGGUUUGCCAGCAUGCUGAUAUUUCUCAGCCUAAAUUAGGGCCCCUGAUUCCUGGAGAUCUGCACCUUGGCGGUCCACAGAGGAAGAUUAUUUGUUAAUAUUCUGACUUUAUAUCUGUGUGGUGACACCAUUUCUGUAGUCUAGGGCAGUGAUUAUUAACCAUAGGGCCGAGGCACAUGGUUGGACAGUGAGCGCCUUCUAAAGAGCCGCUAAAAGUUUUUUGUUUAACUCCUCUGGGCCAUGAGACGCUCAGUUUUAAUAUAUUUGCCAGUAGAGUGUCAUUGAAAUGACUUGACAGCUGCAAAUUUGUGACUAUUGAUGAUGGAGAAGUUCUUGAAAAUAAAAAAUGAUAAAGACUGUAAUAACUGUUCAUGAAAGCACCUGUUGAAGCAGUUUUUAAAAUUUAUUAGAAAAUACUUUCAUGUGAUGGCCUUUAUCAGUCCCACAGCGGGGAAAGUUUAUUUCGAAAAUAAAACAUUUUUAUUUAAAUAUAAUUUUAUUAUAUAUAUUUUAUACAGAAUUGUAUUUUUUUUUUCUCAACAGUUGCAUCAAGUGUAUUUUUCUUUUGUAAAUUUGAUGAAUAUGACUUGUACCUGGUUCUGAUGCUGGUUGGACUUUUCGAUGACAAAUAAAUAUCUUUGCGAUCAUCACAUGGUUUAAUGUCAUUUCACAAGGUUUUGCUUUGUUUAUGUGUAAGUAGAUUAAAUAUGGUUGUUGAACACAAUGAAACUAAGGGUAAUGAAUCUAACUUGAAUGGGCCCUGGGCCUAUUUGUUCAGGAAAAAAACAAUCAAAAUGGUUAAGAACACCUGGUCUUGGGCAGAGCUUCCUCAUGUAAACUCACACCUAAACAGCACCUCACUCACCUUCUGCUUUCAUGUAGUGCACAGAGUAUGCGAUGACUUUAUCCGAGUUGAAAAGUGGUCGCUCCCAAGCCAGGAGGAUGGCGGAGCUCGACACCGUGUCCGCUCUGAUGUUCCUCGGAGCGCUCGGACGGUCUUCUGACAUCACCACGAUGAGCCGCGCCAUGGCCAGGACGGACCCCUGCUCAUUCUCUGCCUGGCACUGAUAGAUGGCAUCGUCUUCCGGAAUGAUCUGGUUGAUAACCAGUUUGCUGUGGGACACAGAAAUAAACAGCCAAGUGAUCUGAGGGCUUGGAAACCCAUCAGCUUCACACACAAAUCUGGCUGUCCCUGCGCGGGGACGAGUCAGGCUCUCUGGCCACUCUACCAAGGAGGGAGGUGCUGUGGGAGAGGGAAGGUCAGCUCACUACAUUCACUCUGCUCUGACCCAAUAAACACAGCCGUAUUACCAAGUACGGUGACGUUUGCCGAGGCCACGGUGUAGUUCCUUGUUCCAGGAGUCGUGGCUCGACACAUGUAGACUCCUCCGUGCUGCGGCUUGAUGUCAGAGAUAAUGAGGUUGCCAUUUCCCAACACUUUGGUGUUGUAAACGUCGAUAGACUUGCUGUCGGCUCGGCUCCAGGAGAUGAUGGGCCGGGGAUGUCCGGUGGCCAAGCACUCUAACACAGCACUCUGGUGCAAGGACACUGAAAUAUUCUGAGGCCCGGCGAUGAUUUGAGGCUUUUGAGGAGGGCGGGGGCUCAGACCUGCCACAGGAAAGGUAAGUGUAACGUGUUAGACUUUAGGGCACAUUCAAGUUUUAAAAUCACAGAAAUAUAAUCUGAUUUGCUUCCAAGAUGUUGAUCAGAAAUAUGUAAUUCUCUAUUCAUAAAUACCAGAUGUUUUAGAUAACUUUGAUCAGCCAACUGUUCAGCCAUGCUUUGUUUCUGUAUAAAAUGAUUUGUUUCCAUCGUUGAAGCGCAGUGUUGAAAGUGAAUGAAAGACGAAUACGAGCAGUUGAAUUAAGUCUUAACAAUUACAACUCCAUCUCCUACCAGUCAGAAAACAAUGCAUUUGCACUAAGAGAUUUCAAGUGAUUUCAGGGACACACAAACCUGCAGUGACAGUGAGGGUCGCCUCUGCGCUUCUACGGCGACUGGCGAUGUUGGUGGCGAUACAGCGGUAAUUACCAGCAUCCGCACGCUUCACGCCGUGAAUCUGGAGAACACCACUGGGCAGGACUGUGAUUCUGAAGGACAAGAUCGGGGUGAAUUAUUUCGACUGAUACUGGCUGAAAGUGGUGAAAGACUCAAGGCUCUCUGUUGAGUAGGUGAAAGAUAAAUACCCAGGAAUAAGACUGAAAACAAGAGCAUGCAUACCUGUCAGUGGCCAGGGGUAACGUGACCCGAUUGAACUCCCAAGUGAUAAUAGGGGGAGGGUGUGCACUGAUUUUGCAAGAAAAUCUGGCAACUGAGCCUUCAGUUACCACCAUGGACAUUGGCUGGAUUGCAAAUGAGUUGAUACCUGUUGUGAAACAAAGCAAUAAGAAAAUACUUUCAUGUUAAAGGAGCAGUUCAACAGCAUCGACAGGAAAAAAGCCAACUUCUUAUUUCAAUUUGACCUGUUUUUUUUUUUAAAUCAACAAGAAAAAACGGUGUACUUAUAGGCUUAAAAUACAAUAACAAGCCUGUAGACAGAUAUGUGCUAGUGGGUCAGAGAUUUAACUCCAAGUUACCACCAGUGUGACCAGAAACCACCACUACAACAGUAGCAUCUCUAUUGCAUAAUCUGAACUCAACAGACCUCAUGUGCAGGUGAGCGCGCAUGUGUGUGUAAAACUAGAAAUUGCAACACAACUGAACAAAGUUUUGCUUCUUCAAUACAAGACAGGGUUGUUUAUGUGACACAUUAUUAACACACUGUCAAAACCAAAUGAAUUACAAGCGCACCGAAAUGAAUUCAAGGUAGCUCAAAGUUAUUAUCACCCCAUAAGGGGAAAACAUCUGAGUCAGAAGUUUCAAGAAGAACAUGCUGGAUCAUAGAGUCACAGUCACAAUCACUGCCGAAAGAAAAACCUCUCAAUUUAUUAUUCAUUUUUGCUCACCAGCAAUAACUAACUAGUUAUCUUAACAGCGCUGGUCGCUUCAGGCUGCCAUUAAAGCACAGGUAUCCCUUGCUUUAUUUUUUAUGAGUAACUGUAUUGU